GUGCCAGCCGCCGCGGUAAUACGGAAGAUGCGAGCGUUAUCCGGAUUUAUUGGGUUUAAAGGGAGCGUAGGCGGGCUGUUAACAGCGGUCAAAUGUCAUGGCCCAACCUUGGCAUGCCGUUGGAACUGGCGGUCUUGAAUACACACAAGGGCGGUGGAAUUCGUUGUGUAGCGGUGAAAUGCUUAGAUAUGACGAAGAACUCCGAUUGCGAAGGCAGCCGCCUGGGGUGCGAUUGACGCUGAGGCUCGAAAGUGCGGGUAUCGAACAGGAUUAGAUACCCUGGUAGUCCGCACAGUAAACGAUGGAUGCUCGUUAUGGGCGAUAUACAGUCCGUGACCGAGGGAAACCAUUAAGCAUCCCACCUGGGGAGUACGCCGGCAACGGUGAAACUCAAAGGAAUUGUCGGGGGCCCGCACAAGCGGAGGAACAUGUGGUUUAAUUCGAUGAUACGCGAGGAACCUUACCCGGGCUUGAAAUGUACCUGACGUGGGUCAGAGAUGUCCCAUUCCUUCGGGCAGGUAUGUAGGUGCUGCGUGGUUGUCGUCAGCUCGUGCCGUGAGGUGUCGGCUUAAGUGCCAUAACGAGCGCAACCCUUGCUGCCAGUUGCCAUCAUGUAGUGGUGGGCACUCUGGCGGGACUGCCAUCGCAAGAUGUGAGGAAGGUGGGGAUGACGUCAAAUCAGCACGGCCCUUACGUCCGGGGCUACACACGUGUUACAAUGGGGGGCACAGCGCGCCGCUACCUGGUGACAGGAUGCGAAUCGUGAAAUCCCCUCUCAGUUCGGACCGGAGUCUGCAACCCGACUCCGCGAAGCUGGAUUCGCUAGUAAUCGCGCAUCAGCCAUGGCGCGGUGAAUACGUUCCCGGGCCUUGUACACACCGCCCGU
This 886-nucleotide ribosomal RNA is filed under the name uncultured bacterium. RNAcentral's name for it is "bacterial SSU rRNA". It matches the Rfam family "Bacterial small subunit ribosomal RNA", at positions 505 to 1397 of the family's 1533-position model. The record is from RNAcentral.